Molecule: long non-coding RNA, 451 nt
Filed under: Bos taurus (domestic cattle)
Lineage: Eukaryota; Metazoa; Chordata; Mammalia; Artiodactyla; Bovidae
Description: long non-coding RNA NONBTAT000686
Source: RNAcentral
CAGUGUUCAAGCAUUUUAUUAAAUCAUUUGAGGAAUCUCCACAUUGUUGCACAUACCAGAUUGUAUACAAUGUAAGGGCAUAUCACUUGUUCACAAACACAGCUGAGCAGUAAGUUGGCAAGUCUAAUAUGCUAUCUUUAGUAAACUAAAAUUUCAAGAACAUUCCAGAGGAAACACAAUAAAGGUCAUGCAAGUUCUAGAAUAGUGAAUCAUGACAAAGCUCACUCAUUUUAUCCUUUUACUUUCAAAAUACAUGUGACAUUCAAACCAGGAAUCCCAACUCUGACCUUUUCACUUACACUAAGUAUCAGUUCAAGAUAAAACACUAGAAGACUGAAACAGACUGAAUAGUCAAACAAAUCAGUGAGGCUGUAUUCAUCUACAUCUAUUUUAAUUUACAUAAAUGACACUAAGUUUAAGAAUCUUAAGAUUACCCUAUGAACUUUUUUUU